CUGGAAGGAAGCUAAGGGUUUGAAAGAGAUGGAGGUGAGGAGCGAGGGUGUUCCAGGUAUGGAGGGAGCCGUCUAUAGAAAGGCACAGAAAGAGGAACGAGGAGGCCAGUCUGGCCCGUCACAUUGCCUUCUGGGAUCCUCGCUUUAAGAAGGCCGUUGGCCAUUCAUUGGCCAGCUGAAGCUGUCCUGAGGGGAGCACCAGGAGGGCGGAGGAACCAAGGCUGGUGAGCCUGGAGCAGGGAGGGGAAGUGACAGAGGAUAGCAGCUUGUGCCACCUGGAGGCAGAACGGGUGGGACUGGCCUCAGGAAGACGUACCUUCCUUGUUACUAGAGGUGAGACUGAAAGGCUUUCUGCUUAGGUGUGGGUUGGAGGGAAUGUGGCACAUGGGCAAGAUGGGAGAUGGAGCCAAGCAAGGUGGGGAGAGUGCUUUUCUAGCUGUCCGUUGUCCCCACCUCCCACACACAUUCAGGCUUCCCCAGAGAUACCUGGAAAGAGCUUGGGGGAGCCCAGCAGUUUCUCAGCCUCUCCCUCUGGCCUCUGGCCAUCCAGGACUAGGAUAGGGCUGGGACGCUCUCAGUGGCCCUGUGGGCAUAGGCUCGUGGAAUGUGGGGCUGGAAGGGCCUCAGAGAGAGGAGGGAACUUGACCAAUGUACCACAUGUAAUAAGUAGCAGAACCACGAUGAAGAUAGGUCCCCUUGCUCCAAACUGAGUGCUCUGUCUGCUGCACGUGUCUGCCUGAGAGAGGGAGCCAGCCAACAGUCUCCACCUUUGGGCAGCACAUGGGCCUCGUCGUAUCAUGACCGCUCAGUGGCCAUGUGCCCAAGUGUGAGUGUGAGAUGUUCCCCCAAGAGUGUCAGACUAGUGGAUUGGGCUUUUUGGGGACUAUGAGGCCAAGAUCAUCGGAAUCAGACCAGGCUAGGUUUGGGGUCGAGUCUUCAGAAUGGAAGGGGGCACCAGACCCACCCACCCCCGAAGCCAUGAUCUCCUUGCUAACAUCCCCACAGGGGAUGCCAAUGUCUGCCCUCCAGUGACAGGGAACUCCAUAAGGCAGGUUCCACUUUGGGACAACUCUAAUUGUUAGGAAACGUUUCCUUCUGUGGAGUAAGUAGGCGGGGAAUGGCAGCAUCCAGAAGCCCUGAGUUCAAAUUCCAUUUCCUAGCUAUGGGACCCCGAGGACUCCCCCUCUGGAGCCUCAGUCACCUCCACUGUGAAAUGAGGAGGUUAGACUUGAUGGUCUCAAAGGCCCUUCCAGCUGGAAAUCUCUGCUCCUGUAAUGCCCCCUCACUGUCUCCUAGCCUGGCUUGGAGCUUGGGACCUUAACAAGCAGAGUAACCUCUCUACACCUCAGUUUUCUCAUUUAUCAUUUGAUGUUUUGACUGGCAGGACCCUUUAGGCCACUGCUAUCCCUGCUAGGCCCUGCUAACUCUGAGAGGCUGAGAAAGUGCCCUUCUCGCCCUCCCCAAACCUGCCCCCAUCUUUAUCUCCUCCCAUCAUCCCGCAGGCAUGUGCUGUGUGGCUCCUAAGCCUGCAGAGUUCUCUCAGAACAUGUCCCAGAGUCCCCCAAACCUGCUCUGCUUUGUGCAGACAAGUCUGGCUGCUGGCUGGUCCCCACUACUGCUUGGGCUUAAGCAGGCCCAUAGCCAUUCCCCAAGCUGGGGUGUUUGGGCUCCUGGGUGCUCAAAGACAACAGAGACUUAGACCCCAGACCUCCAGCCCAGGCUACCACAGUGGCCUGGCCAGCCCCCGAGGACAUGGGAGCCCACACUUUGGGAGUAAAGGGGCUUCAGUAGAGGUAGCUGCCCAGCCCCUGAGGCCCCCAAUGCCUGAUGGCCCAGAAAGGCCGUAGAGGAGCUGCAGUUGACUGUCUCACAGCCUGGGGGCCCUCGGCCCAGGAUCAAUUGGGAACUUCCAAUGAACACCAUGGCCAGAGGAAAUGGGCAGCUAAAAGAGCCAGGAUCCCAGCCUGCCCCACCAUGGGACCACAGUCCCCAUGUUUUUCUUUUCCCAAACACCCCCAAACAAUCUAUUUUUGUAAGCUACUUCCUUAUCACUUUUAGAAAUGAAUGUUCAAACAAGAAAAGUUUGUUGCACAGAGAAUGGGUAGAGAGAAUUAGCUAGGUUUCCAGUUCCUCCUCCCUCCCCCGUGGAUGGUUUGACUGAAAUGGGCACCCUACAGACCCCAGAGUGUACCUGAAUCAAAGGCAAUGAUGGAGCUGUCUGUCAGGGACCUUAGAGCAUAGAACAUAAGACUGCCAGAGAUGGGAGGAACCUUAGAAUGUAGAAUAUAAAGGAUGUAAUGGAGCUUAGGAUAUAGAAUGUCAACACUGGAAGUGACUUUAGAACACAGAAUGUCAAAGGUCCCAUAGGACAUGGAGUGUCAAAGCUGGGAAGGACUUUAGAACAUAGAAUUUCUGAGGGGGAAGGAACCUUAGAACAAAUAAUGUCAAAGCCAGGAGGGGCCUUCGAACCCAGAAAGUCAGAACUGUGAGAACAAGGCCUCCAGAAAUGGGACUGAGGGUCUGGGCCUAAAGCACCAGGAGGAAGAUGAAGAGUCUCUGUCUGCUGUCUCUGCUUGGUCAGGACCCUUCCUCUGCUCCCCCAGUGUCUAGCUAUCAUCCAGACCUCCGGGUACCAGGGCUUGGGCCCAGCCUUCCUUCUGAGCAGCUUGUCAGAGUCCCAGGCUCCCUCCUGCAUUUAGCAGUCUAGCAGAAGCUAGGGCUCAUCCAUUCUCUGAGGCCAGAUGCUAACAGAUGACUGCUUUGUAGGCCAGCCUCCCACGCCCCCAGGAGCUGAGCCUACCUGCACUGUCCAAGCCAGGAGACUGAUGCUGCCAGGACAGAGAGGGCAAAAUGGAAGUGUGGCAGUGUCUUGGCCUGCAGAGAAAGGCUUUGGGCAUAGGUGGAUAUGGGCAGCACCAUGGAAAGUUAACCACAGGAAAGCUUGGCUUCCCAGUCCCCUGCACUGCUAGUCAGCAGCUCCGUGACCUUGGGGAAUUGAACCAUCCACAUCUCCUGCCUGUGGACUUUGGCCAAGACCCUUCACCUCCCUGUGGCACAUUUUCUUCAUCUAUAAAAUGAGGGUGUGGAACUAGAUGAUGUCUCUAAAUCCCAUGAUCCUUUGCAAAGCCACCUGAUCCAUUCAAAUUACUUGGGAUCUACUGUCUAAAAGGCAGAAAAAAACAACCAAUCCAGCUGUUUUUUCACUGGGCCAUCUCCAUCUCCUAGAAUCUUACCGAUCCUUCAAGCCGUGUUGUCCAAGAAACUGUCCCCUUCACCCUCGCAACCAACCAGCUAGAAGUGAUCUCAUAGCACUUGAUUCUCAUCUAUGUACACAGCAUAUUCUAACUUGUCUUAGUUAUCUGUGUUUUGUCUUACCCUUUCCAACUAGAAUGUGAGCUCCUUGAAGGCAGGGCACCCACAGCACCCAGCACAAAGGUUUUCACUUAAAAGGUGCUAUAAAGGUGAGUGGGAGAAAGGAGACAAGUCUGACUAGGAGUGAGAGAAUGUGAGAACAUGAAAGGGUCAGGGUUGUUCUGCUGAGAGCAGCCAAGGUUCGUUUCUGAACAGUAACUUGGUAUAGAGUGGCAAGAGGGAGAGGGUAGAGUUGAGCAUUGGCCUCAGAGCAGUCUAAAGGACUUUAGAAGUCACCUAGUCCUUUCACCCUUUCAUGUUACAGUUAAGAAAACUGAGCAGAGCCCAGGGGCACUGUGGGAGUGAGGGACCUAUGUUCCCAUUUGCCUGGCACUUUCACAGCUUCCUGCUAAUCUUAUCCUUAUCAGGUGCACACUGGGAAGCCCUCUGAGCUCCAUUUUUACAGAGGAGGGCUCGGGUCCAGAGUGGAAAGUGCCACAGUAGCCCAAGUUGGCGACAAAGACAGUGGCAGGAAUGUAGGGUCCCGGCGCCCUGUUCAGGGGUUCUUUCUGGGCUCCACUGAAUGCAUCUGAUCUUCCCUCCCCCCCCCACACGAUCACAUCUCUGGAUGAAUUGGGCCAUGGCCAUGGCCUGGAGCUGGCAAGUGGUAAAGAUCCCCUUGUGACCUGUGGGAGGGUGGCUCCAAAGGCUGUCAGAGCUUUGGAGAGGGAAGUAAGCUUAGCAGCAGUUGGUGAGAAGACAUCCUUCAACCCCCGCCCCCAUUUCCACUCCGCCAGGCCCUCCACCACCUCCUAUCAAAACCAGUCUUUCCUUUCCUGAAAAAAAAAAUGCCCUUUCCUUCCGUGGAGACUUUCCAAGCUGGCUUGGCCUACAGGUAGGAAAGAGUGGUGGUACUGUCCCCCUGCAGUUCUAUGGAAGCCCUCACUUCUCCCGAAUUCCCCCUGCUCUCUCUAUGCACCGAGACUGAGAGGACACGCACCUCUCGCCCCUACCAGCCAGACCUGGGCACCGGCACAUGGGUGCCUCCUGCCUCGAAGGUUCCACUUUCUGAGAGUGGUGAGUCCAGGCUGGCCUUGGUUUCAGUCGGGGUGGCUGCCUGUCCAGAGAGAACCCUGUGGGCUUCAGACUUGUGAAUUUGCACACGCUUCAAGCGAUUUGAUGAUUGAUCCACAUUAUUCUCAAGCUAAUGUUUAAAAAGCCAUCCCUCAUCAGGUGGUAUCGAAGUCUUUUGCAUUUAGUCAAUAGAUGUUGCUGCCUGUAUCUACCCACUGUCCGCGGUUUGCUAAGUGUGAGCAAGUGUGUCUUACCCAGUGUUGUGGGUUCUGCUUGCCUUGAUGUGGACCCCAGAAGGUACCAGUUGAAUGGUUGCUAAGCAAGCUCCCCUCAGUGAGAGGGAAGAGAGCAGCUUUUCAAGACCUGUGUGUGAACUCCAUUUGUGAGCAACAUAUAUCCAACCUAAUCUCCCAAACUGCUGACACUUUAUGCAUGUGAUAAUAAAAAGACCAAUAAAGAUUGGCUUUGUGUGGGCCUCUGCCAA
Long non-coding RNA from Vombatus ursinus (common wombat), 4909 nucleotides. RefSeq lists it as uncharacterized. The record is from RefSeq and is a predicted model, not a curated record. The transcript has 2 exons. Lineage: Eukaryota; Metazoa; Chordata; Mammalia; Diprotodontia; Vombatidae.